GGUUGUGGCUCAGUGGUAGAGCCCUUGCCUAGAAUUAGCAUAUGUGAGGCUCUGGGUUCAAUCCUCAACACCA
RNAcentral lists this transfer RNA (73 nucleotides) under Marmota monax (woodchuck). RNAcentral's name for it is "tRNA.Ser". Lineage: Eukaryota; Metazoa; Chordata; Mammalia; Rodentia; Sciuridae. The record is from RNAcentral.